RNAcentral lists this non-coding RNA (176 nucleotides) under Candidatus Margulisbacteria bacterium GWD2_39_127. RNAcentral's name for it is "6S RNA". It matches the Rfam family "6S / SsrS RNA". Rfam says of the family: E. coli 6S RNA was the first non coding RNA to be sequenced, but its function was unknown until recently. It consists of 184 nucleotides that fold into an extended hairpin structure with a large single-stranded internal bulge. The 6S RNA specifically associates with RNA polymerase holoenzyme containing the sigma70 specificity factor. Lineage: Bacteria; Bacillati; Candidatus Margulisiibacteriota. RNAcentral also lists the same sequence under 3 other names. The record is from RNAcentral.
AAAACCCGACUGUGUACGUGAUGUGUAUUUGCGUUGAGCCAACACAUUGAUGAAGGGUGGUAAUUGCCAUCUAAAGCUGUGGCUCUGAUGGGGUUACCUGCAAUCUAGCAUUGCUAGAACCCACCUUGGCAUUAGGGUUCAUAUGCCUAUCCAACACACGGCACGGUGGGGUUUAU